CCUACGGGAGGCUGCAGUGGGGGAUAUUGCACAAUGGGGGAAACCCUGAUGCAGCGACGCCGCGUGUGGGAAGACGGUCUUCUGGAUUGUAAACCACUGUCCCCAGGGACGAAAAUGACGGUACCUGGGGAGGAAGCUCCGGCUAACUACGUGCCAGCAGCCGCGGUAAUACGUAGGGAGCAAGCGUUGUCCGGAAUUACUGGGUGUAAAGGGAGCGUAGGGGGGGAGGCAAGUUGGGGGUCAAAACUACGGGCUCAACCGUUAGUCGCAAUUGAAACUGCAAGUCUUGAGUGAAGUAGAGGCAGGAGGAAUUCCUAGUGUAGCGGUGAAAUGCGUAGAUAUUAGGAGGAACACCAGUGGCGAAGGCGGCCUGCUGGGCUUUUACUGACGCUGAGGCUCGAAAGUGUGGGGAGCAAACAGGAUUAGAUACCCUAGUAGUC
Molecule: ribosomal RNA, 440 nt
Filed under: uncultured bacterium
Lineage: Bacteria
Description: partial 16S ribosomal RNA
Rfam family: Bacterial small subunit ribosomal RNA
Source: RNAcentral